CUCCGCUUGGUGUAGUUGGUUGUAUGUUCUCACCCAUCCUUUAUCGCAUAUUUCACACCCACUAACAUGAUAUUAGUAUCACGUUCGACUGUAAUAGCACAUUGUUAUCGAAAGGUCCCUAGUUCGAUUCUGGGAGCGGAGA
Non-coding RNA from Neocucurbitaria cava, 142 nucleotides. NCBI's taxonomy places the organism in Eukaryota, Fungi, Ascomycota, Dothideomycetes, Pleosporales, Cucurbitariaceae. The record is from the annotation of a GenBank genome assembly.